RNAcentral lists this ribosomal RNA (367 nucleotides) under uncultured bacterium. Its description in RNAcentral is "bacterial SSU rRNA". It matches the Rfam family "Bacterial small subunit ribosomal RNA", at positions 527 to 896 of the family's 1533-position model. The record is from RNAcentral.
GGAGGGUGCAAGCGUUAUCCGGAUUCACUGGGUUUAAAGGGUGCGUAGGUGGGUUGGUAAGUCAGUGGUGAAAUCCCCGAGCUUAACUUGGGAACUGCCAUUGAUACUAUCAGUCUUGAAUAUUGUGGAGGUUAGCGGAAUAUGUCAUGUAGCGGUGAAAUGCUUAGAUAUGACAUAGAACACCAAUUGCGAAGGCAGCUGGCUACGCAUAUAUUGACACUGAGGCACGAAAGCGUGGGGAUCAAACAGGAUUAGAUACCCUGGUGGUCCACGCCCUAAACUAUGGAUACUCGACAUCAGCGAUACACUGUUGGUGUCUGAGCGAAAGCAUUAAGUAUCCCACCUGGGAAGUACGAUCGCAAGAUUG